Molecule: ribosomal RNA, 509 nt
Filed under: Enterobacteriaceae bacterium
Lineage: Bacteria; Pseudomonadati; Pseudomonadota; Gammaproteobacteria; Enterobacterales; Enterobacteriaceae
Description: bacterial SSU rRNA
Rfam family: Bacterial small subunit ribosomal RNA
Source: RNAcentral
UUUUAGAGUUUUUGCCUGGGUCAGAGUGUACGCUGGGGGCAGGCCUAUCACAUGCAAAACGAGCGGCAGCGGGAAGUAGCCUGGCACUUUGCUGGCGAGCGGCGGACGGGUGAGUAAUGUCUGGGAAACUGCCUGAUGGAGGGGGAUAACUACUGGAAACGGUAGCUAAUACCGCAUAACGUCGCAAGACCAAAGAGGGGGACCUUCGGGCCUCUUGCCAUCAGAUGUGCCCAGAUGGGAUUAGCUAGUAGGUGGGGUAAUGGCUCACCUAGGCGACGAUCCCUAGCUGGUCUGAGAGGAUGACCAGCCACACUGGAACUGAGACACGGUCCAGACUCCUACGGGAGGCAGCAGUGGGGAAUAUUGCACAAUGGGCGCAAGCCUGAUGCAGCCAUGCCGCGUGUAUGAAGAAGGCCUUCGGGUUGUAAAGUACUUUCAGCGGGGAGGAAGGUGGUGAGGUUAAUAACCUCAGCAAUUGACGUUACCCGCAGAAGAAGCACGGGCUACCU